GUGGUAUACGAUGGACCCGCGUCUGAUUAGCCAGUUGGCAGGGUAACGGCCUACCAAAGCGACGAUCAGUAGCCGGCCUGAGAGGGUGGACGGCCACAUUGGGACUGAGACACGGCCCAAACUCCUACGGGAGGCAGCAGUGGGGAAUAUUGCACAAUGGGGGAAACCCUGAUGCAGCGACGCCGCGUGAGUGAAGAAGUCAUUCGUGAUGUAAAGCUCUAUCAGCAGGGAAGAAGAUGACGGUACCUGACCAAGAAGCCCCGGCUAACUACGUGCCAGCAGCCGCGGUAAUACGUAGGGGGCAAGCGUUAUCCGGAUUUACUGGGUGUAAAGGGAGCGUAGACGGUGAAGCAAGUCUGGAGUGAAAUGCUGGGGCCCAACCCCAGAACUGCUCUGGAAACUGUUUGACUGGAGUGCAGGAGAGGUAAGUGGAAUUCCUAGUGUAGCGGUGAAAUGCGUAGAUAUUAGGAGGAACACCAGUGGCGAAGGCGGCUUACUGGACUGUAACUGACGUUGAGGCUCGAAAGCGUGGGGAGCAAACAGGAUUAGAUACCCUGGUAGUCCACGCCGUAAACGAUGAUCACUAGGUGUCGGAGGGUAGAGACC
This 606-nucleotide ribosomal RNA is filed under the name uncultured bacterium. RNAcentral describes it as "bacterial SSU rRNA". It matches the Rfam family "Bacterial small subunit ribosomal RNA", at positions 215 to 837 of the family's 1533-position model. The record is from RNAcentral.